This 369-nucleotide ribosomal RNA is filed under the name uncultured bacterium. RNAcentral's name for it is "bacterial SSU rRNA". It matches the Rfam family "Bacterial small subunit ribosomal RNA", at positions 8 to 377 of the family's 1533-position model. The record is from RNAcentral.
AGAGUUUGAUCCUGGCUCAGAUUGAACGCUGGCGGCAUGCUUUACACAUGCAAGUCGAACGGCAGCACGGGAGCUUGCUCCUGGUGGCGAGUGGCGAACGGGUGAGUAAUGCAUCGGAACGUAUCCAAUAAUGGGGGAUAACGCAGCGAAAGCUGUGCUAAUACCGCAUACGCCCUGAGGGGGAAAGUGGGGGACCGCAAGGCCUCACGUUAAUGGAGCGGCCGAUGUCAGAUUAGCUAGUUGGUGAGGUAAGGGCUCACCAAGGCGACGAUCUGUAGCUGGUCUGAGAGGAUGAUCAGCCACACUGGAACUGAGACACGGUCCAGACUCCUACGGGAGGCAGCAGUGGGGAAUUUUGGACAAUGGGGG